CAGUCGCCACGGGAAAACAGAGGGUGCAAGCGUUAAUCGGAAUUACUGGGCGUAAGCGCGCGUAGGUGGUUUGUUAAGUUGGAUGUGAAAUCCCCGGGCUCAACCUGGGAACUGCAUCCAAAACUGGCAAGCUAGAGUAUGGUAGAGGGUGGUGGAAUUUCCUGUGUAGCGGUGAAAUGCGUAGAUAUAGGAAGGAACACCAGUGGCGAAGGCGACCACCUGGACUGAUACUGACACUGAGGUGCGAAAGCGUGGGGAGCAAACAGGAUUAGAUACCCGCGUAGUCCCUGUCUCUUAUACA
RNAcentral lists this ribosomal RNA (301 nucleotides) under uncultured bacterium. Its description in RNAcentral is "partial 16S ribosomal RNA". It matches the Rfam family "Bacterial small subunit ribosomal RNA", at positions 509 to 808 of the family's 1533-position model. The record is from RNAcentral.